GUUGUUAUGGUGUAGUGGUUAUCACGUCAGUCUUACACACUGAAGGUCCCCAGUUUAAUCCUGGGCAGCAACA
Transfer RNA from Ipomoea nil (Japanese morning glory), 73 nucleotides. It matches the Rfam family "tRNA". From Rfam's summary of the family: Transfer RNA (tRNA) molecules are approximately 80 nucleotides in length. Their secondary structure includes four short double-helical elements and three loops (D, anti-codon, and T loops). The record is from Rfam. Lineage: Eukaryota; Viridiplantae; Streptophyta; Magnoliopsida; Solanales; Convolvulaceae.